UACAGAGGUCUCAAGCGUUGUUCGGAUUCAUUGGGCGUAAAGGGUGCGUAGGUGGCGGGGUAAGUCAGGUGUGAAAUUUCGGAGCUUAACUCCGAAACUGCAUUUGAUACUGCCUUGCUUGAGGACUGGAGAGGAGACUGGAAUUCCUGGUGUAGCGGUGGAAUGCGCAGAUAUCAGGAGGAACACCAAUAGCGAAGGCAGCUCACUGGGACGGUACUGACGCUAAGGCGCGAAAGCGUGGGGAGCGAACAGG
This 253-nucleotide ribosomal RNA is filed under the name uncultured bacterium. Its description in RNAcentral is "partial 16S ribosomal RNA". It matches the Rfam family "Bacterial small subunit ribosomal RNA", at positions 524 to 776 of the family's 1533-position model. The record is from RNAcentral.